CUAAGGAAUAUUACGGAAGACUACACAGUGUUUUGCUUUUGUUCAGUUUUGAGAGGCCUACGGGUAUCUCAAAAAGACUUGUUCAUUGAAAACUGGAUAUUGAAAUACAAGAAAAACAAACCGAGAACACACACCGCACUUGGAUGAAGAAAUUCGUUCAAUUGCUUAUUCUUGAGUAACCUUCUAUCGCUAGAAGAAGUGCUCAAAACCCGACCGUAAGGUCGUUAA
This 228-nucleotide unclassified non-coding RNA is filed under the name Enterococcus asini. RNAcentral's name for it is "partial 16S-23S ribosomal RNA intergenic spacer". Lineage: Bacteria; Bacillati; Bacillota; Bacilli; Lactobacillales; Enterococcaceae. The record is from RNAcentral.